AUUGAACGCUGGCGGCAUGCCUUACACAUGCAAGUCGAACGGCAGCACGGGUGCUUGCACCUGGUGGCGAGUGGCGAACGGGUGAGUAAUACAUCGGAACAUGUCCUGUAGUGGGGGAUAGCCCGGCGAAAGCCGGAUUAAUACCGCAUACGAUCCACGGAUGAAAGCGGGGGACCUUCGGGCCUCGCGCUAUAGGGUUGGCCGAUGGCUGAUUAGCUAGUUGGUGGGGUAAAGGCCUACCAAGGCGACGAUCAAUAGCUGGUCUGAGAGGACGACCAGCCACACUGGGACUGAGACACGGCCCAGACUCCUACGGGAGGCAGCAGUGGGGAAUUUUGGACAAUGGGCGAAAGCCUGAUCCAGCAAUGCCGCGUGUGUGAAGAAGGCCUUCGGGUUGUAAAGCACUUUUGUCCGGAAAGAAAUCCUUGACUCUAAUACAGUCGGGGGAUGACGGUACCGGAAGAAUAAGCACCGGCUAACUACGUG
This 486-nucleotide ribosomal RNA is filed under the name uncultured bacterium. Its description in RNAcentral is "partial 16S ribosomal RNA". It matches the Rfam family "Bacterial small subunit ribosomal RNA", at positions 30 to 507 of the family's 1533-position model. The record is from RNAcentral.